This 469-nucleotide ribosomal RNA is filed under the name uncultured bacterium. RNAcentral's name for it is "partial 16S ribosomal RNA". It matches the Rfam family "Bacterial small subunit ribosomal RNA", at positions 28 to 507 of the family's 1533-position model. The record is from RNAcentral.
GACGAACGCUGGCGGCGUGCUUAACACAUGCAAGUCGAACGGAAAGGCCCUGCUUGCGGGGUGCUCGAGUGGCGAACGGGUGAGUAACACGUGGGUGAUCUGCCCCUUACUUUGGGAUAAGCCUGGGAAACUGGGUCUAAUACUGGAUAGGACCAUGCUGUAGGUGGUGUGGUGGAAAGAUUAGUUUCGGUAAGGGAUGAGCUCGCGGCCUAUCAGCUUGUUGGUGGGGUAAUGGCCUACCAAGGCGUCGACGGGUAGCCGGCCUGAGAGGGUGGACGGCCACAUUGGGACUGAGAUACGGCCCAGACUCCUACGGGAGGCAGCAGUGGGGAAUAGUGCACAAUGGGCGCAAGCCUGAUGCAGCGACGCCGCGUGGGGGAUGACGGCCUUCGGGUUGUAAACUCCUUUCAGCCAUGACGAAGCCCUUGUGGUGACGGUAGUGGUAGAAGAAGCACCGGCUAACUACGUG